RNAcentral lists this ribosomal RNA (216 nucleotides) under Glomeromycotina sp. Its description in RNAcentral is "partial small subunit ribosomal RNA". The stretch from base 40 to 216 matches the Rfam family "Eukaryotic small subunit ribosomal RNA", at positions 686 to 864 of the family's 1831-position model. Lineage: Eukaryota; Fungi; Glomeromycota. The record is from RNAcentral.
GGGUCAGUAGGUUGGUCGUGCCACCGGUACGUACUGGUCUCACUGAUUCCUCCUUCCUGAAGAACCGUAAUGCCAUUAAUUUAGUGUUGCGGGGAAACGGGACUGUUACUUUGAAAAAAUUAGAGUGUUUAAAGCAAGCUAACGCUUGAAUACAUUAGCGUGGAAUAAUGAAAUAGGACGAUCGAUCCUAUUUUGUUGGUUUCUAGGAUUGACGUA